CCGGCCUACGAUAAGAGGGAUAACGGUAUCGAUCGAGACACCGCACUCAGUGUUUUGGAAAGUGCCGAAGAGACGGAGGGCUCCCUCCCUGCCCCCCAGGAGCUGGUGCUUUCGUGGUGGAAAGAGACAUAAAAGCAUUUGCAAAGUGAGACAUCCAAUGGGUCCGAGAGUAAGAGAGACGAAACGGUCCAGGUCGGGAAGCCCAGCGUCGUUACGGAGGCUGAGUUUGCUAAUUCUUUCCUGAAUAAGAAAAAGGAAGCCCUCUCAGCGCGCAGAAACUGUAUUCGCAAGCUUAACAUUCAUUCAUUCAUCCCGUCGCAUUGAUCGAGCGCUUACUAUGUGCAGAGCACUGGACUAAGCGCUUGGAAUGGACAAUUCGGCAACGGAUAGAGACCAUCCCCGCCCAACGACGGGCUCACGGCCUAAACGGGGGAGACGGACGGCAGAACGAAACAGAACAAAACAAAACGGUGAAAUAAGAAGUUCGCCCCUCCCUAAAGACCGUAGGCUCACGGUGGGCAGGGAAUGUGUCUAUCGACUCUGUUAUUUUGGACUCCCCCAAGCGUUGAGUACGGUGCUCCGCGCACACGAAGUGAUGGAUAAAUGCAAUCGACUGACUGAUCGAUCGAUCUGGUUUCUCUGAAUUCUAGGACCUCCGCGUGCGUUGCCCGAACCUCACGCUGCCAAAGGCCCCAGGGCCCCCCCUCCCUGCCCAACGCUCCCAGCUCGGGCUCCAGGACAUCGGCGGGACCCGCCCCAGCACGAGGACUCACCUGGCCCCCAAGGAGGUGAGGAAGUCACGGGACCCGGCGAACUCCCAUCGGGUCCCGGCGGAGAAGGCCUUCGCCGGUCCUCCUUCGCCACCGUCCACCACGUCCACCUCCCGGGGCAGUUCCACUCGGCGUCAGGGGAAGGUAAGAAACGCUCUCCUCUCCCGGCGGGCUCCCUCUUCCAAGAGGGAGAAGUUCUGGAGCUGCGGCACAAUAGCCCGCGUGGGCCCGACAAGUUCCCACGCGCGGUCCGGCCUCCACUCCGGGACUCCGGUGAGAGACGUCGGGGGAGGAGAGCUGGGGGAGCCCGGGGAGGUCGGAGGAGGAGACGUCGAGAUGGGCUCGAUGGGACAUCGUCCUCGUCCUCUUCUCAGCCGCCGCGAGGAGCGCGGGGGUCGAAUUGGAAAUCGGCGUGGCCUAACGGGUGGAAAGAGGCCAGGUUUGGGAGUCACAGGUCGUGGGUUCUAAUCCCGGCUCCUCCACUUGUCUGCUGGGUGACCUUGGACAAGUUAUUUAACUUCUCUGGGCCUCAGUGACCUCAUCUGGAAAAUGGGGAUUGAGACUGUGAGCCCCACGUGGGACAACCUGAUUACCCUGCAUCUCCCCCAGUGCUUAGAACAGUCCUUGGCACAUAGUUAGCGCUUAACAAAUACUAUCAUUAUUAUUAUUAUUAAGAAGGGCCUAGGAGGCAGAAUGUCAUGGGUUCUAAUCCCGGCUCCGCCACUUAUCUGCUGAGUGACUUUGGGCAAGUCAUCUCACUUCUCUGGUCCUCAGUUCCCUCAUCUGGAAAAUGGGGAUUGAGACUGUGAGCCCCACGUAGGACAACCUGAUCACCUUGUAUCUCCCCCAGCUCCUAGAACAGUGCCUGGCACAUAGUAAGCAAUUAAAUAUUAUUAUUAUUAUUAUUAUUAUUAAGAGGGGCCUAGGAGGCAGAAGGUCAUGGGUUCUAAUCCCGGCUCCGCCACUUGUCUGCUGAGUGACUCUGGACAAGUCAUCUCACUUCUCCGGGCCUCAGUCACCUCUUCUAUAAAUUGCGGAUUAAGACUGUGAGCUCCACGAGGGAUAGAGUCUGGGUCCAACCCACUUUGCUUCGAUCCACACCAGCAUUUAGGACAGUAGCUGGCACAUAGUAAGUACUUAAUAAAUCCUGUCAUUUAUUUAAAAAAAAACUUAUCUGGGCCUCAUUUACCUCAUCUAUAAAAGGGGGAUGAAGACUGUGAGCUCCACGUGGGACAGGGACUGUGUCCAACCCGAUUUGCUUCGAUCCACCCCGGCAUUUAGUACAGUAGCUGGCACAGAGUAAGCACUUAAUAAAUCCUGUCAUUUAUUUUUUAUAAAAUUCAUCUGGGCCUCAUUUACCUCAUCUAUAAAAAGGGGAUUUAAGACUGUUAGCUCCACGUGGGACAGGGACUGUGUCCAACCCAAUUUGCU
This 2201-nucleotide long non-coding RNA is filed under the name Ornithorhynchus anatinus (platypus). RNAcentral's name for it is "lncRNA (ENSOANG00000032921.2)". Lineage: Eukaryota; Metazoa; Chordata; Mammalia; Monotremata; Ornithorhynchidae. The record is from RNAcentral.